This 2269-nucleotide ribosomal RNA is filed under the name human gut metagenome. Its description in RNAcentral is "bacterial LSU rRNA". It matches the Rfam family "Bacterial large subunit ribosomal RNA", at positions 14 to 2306 of the family's 2925-position model. The record is from RNAcentral.
AGGGCGUACGGCGAAUGCCUGGCCACUCGAAACUGAAGAAGGACGCGCCAAACUGCGAAAAGCUCCGUGAAGCUGUAAGGAAGCGAAGAAGCGGAGGUGUCCGAAUGGGGGAACCCGGCAGCAGACAUGAGCUGUCAUCUGCAGGUGAAUACAUGGCCUGCAAGAGAGGUACCCGGCGAACUGAAACAUCUAAGUAGCCGGAGGAAAAGAAAACAACAGUGAUUCCCUGAGUAGCGGCGAGCGAAAGGGGAGAAGCCCAAACCGGUUGAAGGACCGGGGUUGAAGGACCAUGACAUGGCAAGAACGAGGAUAGGAGAACGGGAUCGAAAGCCCGGCCGAAGAAGGUGAAAGCCCUGUAACCGAAAUCCGAGUAAAGCCUAAUGGGAUCCUGAGUACGGCGAGACACGAGGAAUCUUGUCGGAAGCAGGCGGGACCAUCCGCCAAGGCUAAAUAUAAACGAGUGAGCGAUAGUGAACCAGUACCGUGAGGGAAAGGUGAAAAGAACCGCGGGAGCGGAGUGAAAGAGAACCUGAAACCGUAUGCCUACAAGAAGUCAGAGCCCGUUAAGGGGUGAUGGCGUGCCUUUUGUAGAAUGAACCGGCGAGUUGCGACAGACUGCGAGGUUAAGGAGGAAAGACCGGAGCCGAAGCGAAAGCGAGUCUUAAGAGGGCGAAAGUAGGAUGUUGCAGACCCGAAACCGGGUGAUCUAGCCAUGAGCAGGUUGAAGUUGAGGUGAAACUCAAUGGAGGACCGAACCGACUACCGUUGAAAAGUUAGCGGAUGACUUGUGGCUAGGGGAGAAAUUCCAAUCGAACCCGGAGAUAGCUGGUUCUCCCCGAAAUAGCUUUAGGGCUAGCGUCGGAAAGAACCUUAGUGAAGGUAGAGCACUGAAUGUGUGAUGGCCCCAUCCCGGGGUACUGAAUACAAUCAAACUGCGAAUGUCAUUAAGGAUGUCCGGCAGUCAGACUGUGAGUGAUAAGGUCCAUGGUCAAGAGGGAAACAGCCCAGACCGCCAGUUAAGGUCCCAAAAUACAGGCUAAGUGGAAAAGGAUGUGGGGAUGCCCAGACAACUAGGAGGUUGGCUCAGAAGCAGCCAUCCUUUAAAGAGUGCGUAACAGCUCACUAGUCGAGUGACCCUGCGCCGAAAAUGUACCGGGGCUAAGCCUGAUACCGAAACUGCGGAUUGUAGGAAACUAUAGUGGUAGGGGAGCGUUGUAUACGAGCAGAAGCCGUACCGUGAGGAGCGGUGGAUUGUAUAGAAGUGAGAAUGCCGGUGUGAGUAGCGAGAUGUAGGUGAGAAUCCUACACACCGAAAGCCCAAGGAUUCCAGGGGAAGGUUCGUCCGCCCUGGGUAAGUCGGGACCUAACGCGAGGCCGAAAGGCGUAGUGGAUGGAAAGCAGGCGAAAGAUUCCUGCACCCGUAUAUGGAGCGAAGGAGUGACGGAGACGGAUAGUGUGACCCUCUUAAUGGAUUGAGGGCGAAGCGAAGCGGCUGGUUACCAGGCAAAUCCGGUAACCAAAAGGCUAGAGCGUGACAGGUAAGCGAAAUCCAAGGAAAGUAGCGAAGCACAUGAUGACGGCUUCCAGGAAAAGCUUCUGGCAAUGCAUAUGCGGCCCGUACCAAAACCGACACAGGUGGGCAGGGAGAGAAUCCCGAGGUGAGCGAGAGAACUGUUGCCAAGGAACUCGGCAAAAUGACUCCGUAAGUUAGCGAGAAGGAGUGCUUAAGCAAUUAAGCCGCAGUGAAGAGGCCCAAGCGACUGUUUAACUAAAACACAGCUCUCUGCGAAGUCGCAAGACGAAGUAUAGGGGGUGACACCUGCCCGGUGCUGGAAGGUUAAGAGGAUCUGUUAAGAGCGAUCUGAAGCAGUGAUCCGAAGCCCCAGUGAACGGCGGCCGUAACUAUAACGGUCCUAAGGUAGCGAAAUUCCUUGUCAGGUAAGUUCUGACCCGCACGAAAGGUGUAACGAUUUGGGCGCUGUCUCGGCAGCAGACUCGGUGAAAUCUUAGUACCUGUGAAAAUGCAGGUUACCCGCAACUAGACGGAAAGACCCCAUGGAGCUUUACUGCAGCCUGAUAUUGAAUUCUGGUCAUACAUGUACAGGAUAGGUGGGAGACAAAGAGACGUGCACGCCAGUGUACGAGGAGUCGACGUUGGGAUACCACUCUUGUGUGACCGGGGUUCUAACCUGGUAUCGAGAACAGGUACGGGGAGAGUGUCAGGUGGGCAGUUUGACUGGGGCGGUCGCCUCCCAAAGAGUAACGGAGG